GUAGUCUCGCACAGAUGCAUAUCAAUAAGCGGAGGAAAAGAAACUAACAAGGAUUCCCCUAGUAACGGCGAGUGAAGCGGGAAGAGCUCAAAUUUGAAAUCUUAAAGGGUUUCCCUUUACGAAUUGUAGUUUAAAGAAGUGUUUUCUGUUGAGGUUUUGGUAAAAGUUCUUUGGAAUAGGACAUCAUAGAGGGUGAGAAUCCCGUAUUUGACCUUUACUUUCAACUUUGUGAUACACUUUCAAAGAGUCGGAUUGUUUGGGAAUGCAGUCCAAAAUGGGUGGUAAAUUUCAUCUAAAGCUAAAUAUUGGCGAGAGACCGAUAGCGAACAAGUACCGUGAGGGAAAGAUGAAAAGAACUUUGAAAAGAGAGUUAAACAGUACGUGAAAUUGUCAAAAGGGAAGCGUUUGACACCAGUGUUGUUUUUCUGAAAAUCAAUUAAAGAACUGUUUAUGCUAAGUUGUUUAGACUUUAUCAGCUAACUGUUUAGUUUUGAGCUUUUCUUUAAUGCACUUUUCAGUUAACAAGUCAACAUCAAUUUCUUUUGCUGUAAAAAAGCUUGAGGAAGGUGGCUUGAGAUUCGUCUUAAGUGUUUAUAGCCUCUUGCCUAUGCAGUCGGAGAGAUUGAGGUCUGCAGCGUAGAUCCCUUCGGGGCUAAAUGCAUUUGUGCUAAGUUAUAGCAUUUUAUAGACAACUUGUUGACUAUGAUUUGUCUUGUAGCUUACUCGCCUAUGUUAUUUUACCUACGCUUAGGAUGUUGAUCUGUAGUGCGUGCGC
Molecule: ribosomal RNA, 775 nt
Filed under: uncultured Neocallimastigales
Lineage: Eukaryota; Fungi; Neocallimastigomycota; Neocallimastigomycetes; Neocallimastigales
Description: partial large subunit ribosomal RNA
Rfam family: Eukaryotic large subunit ribosomal RNA
Source: RNAcentral